AGUGGCAGCACCUGAAGCUGGGAGGGAAGGAAGGGAGGUGCCUUCUUGAACAGGAAGGAGAGGAAGAGUGAAGUCCCUUCAACUUGCCAUCACUGCAUGAGAGGGUAAAAGAAAAAAAAGGCAUCUGGCCCCUUUUGGCCUUCGGAUGAGAAGGACUUUCAGAAUUAUAGGGAAUGGGGGAAAGGUGUAAGGAAGACCCUUGUCCCAUGGGACGAAGAGAGCAUCCCUCAUGGAGUGUCAUCCAACCCCUGCUCUGGAGCAGUGCUGAGGACAUUUCUUGUUCUGGCCCAGAUUCUGAUACAGAUUCAGUGUUGUCUGGGUGACUUGAUGGGCUUUGGCAAAGGAACUGAGAAGGCAGUCAUUGAGG
Mauremys mutica (yellowpond turtle) is the source of this 367-nucleotide long non-coding RNA. RefSeq lists it as uncharacterized. The transcript is spliced from 3 exons. The record is from RefSeq and is a predicted model, not a curated record. Lineage: Eukaryota; Metazoa; Chordata; Testudines; Geoemydidae.